Molecule: ribosomal RNA, 402 nt
Filed under: uncultured bacterium
Lineage: Bacteria
Description: bacterial SSU rRNA
Rfam family: Bacterial small subunit ribosomal RNA
Source: RNAcentral
UGGGGAAUAUUGCACAAUGGGGGAAACCCUGAUGCAGCAACGCCGCGUGAGUGAUGACGGCCUUCGGGUUGUAAGGCUCUGUCUUCAGGGACGAUAAUGACGGUACCUGAGGAGGAAGCCACGGCUAACUACGUGCCAGCAGCCGCGGUAAUACGUAGGUGGCAAGCGUUGUCCGGAUUUACUGGGCGUAAAGGGAGCGUAGGCGGACUUUUAAGUGAGAUGUGAAAUACCCGGGCUCAACCUGGGUGCUGCAUUUCAAACUGGAAGUCUAGAGUGCAGGAGAGGAGAGUGGAAUUCCUAGUGUAGCGGUGAAAUGCGUAGAGAUUAGGAAGAACACCAGUGGCGAAGGCGACUCUCUGGACUGUAACUGACGCUGAGGCUCGAAAGCGUGGGGAGCAAACA